This 2395-nucleotide long non-coding RNA is filed under the name Felis catus (domestic cat). RNAcentral's name for it is "lncRNA (ENSFCAG00000049307.1)". The record is from RNAcentral. Lineage: Eukaryota; Metazoa; Chordata; Mammalia; Carnivora; Felidae.
CCCGGAAGGAUGACACUUCCCCGCAGUCCUGGUGACCGCGUGCUUUGCUGCGGACAAGAGACUGUGAAGAUGCCCUGUGUUCCCUUUGGGGCGGAGCUCGAAGAGCCAGGCUAUGGUGCUCCCUUAUCCUCUGCCACCCACCGCGGGAAGAGAGAGUCCUCGCUGCCUGCCGGGGGGGGGGGGGGGGGGGGGGGGGAGCAGGGGCCACGCCCACGCGUGCUGGGGGGGGGGGGGGGGGGGGGAACCAGCCGCUGCUAUUGCUCUGCCGUGCUGGGGCGCAGGACUGCUGGGGCUGCGAUAUAAUCCAGCCCCCGCUGACCGUGUCCAUGUGCGCGAGGGGACGUAGGGGUGAGCGGGCGAGACAGUGUGCGUGUGCGUGAAACAUCUGUUGCCCCGGCGGUCGGGGUGUUGGGGGUGUUUGUUACAGCCACCUGACCCAGCGCACGCCGGCUGAUGCAAGGACCGAGUGUCCUCGUGGCUGCAGGGACGGGGGAGAAUUAAGGCGCGCGUGAGAGUGUGUGUGAGGAUGCCCGCGAGAGGGAGACGUUGGGAGGGAGGAAGUGAGGCCACUGUGAGGGACACCACCCCCCUCCCUCCGCCCCCCACCGCCGUGUGCCUGCUCUGUCCCCGGGGCCCCAGGUCAGGCAGGGGUCAAGAUCGGCACCCUGCCACACGGGGACUAGCCGCACCUGCACUCCUUCCUCUUUACCUCGGAAACUUGUCUUGAAUCUCUCAGCUCCUUCUCCCUGUCCUGCUGCCUCGUCCCUCCCUCCAGCCACCCUCGUCUCCAUCUGGAGGGUACAGCUGCCUUCCUGUCUGGCUGCCCCCCACCCAGGCUUUUCUCCACACAGCCAUCUUUCCAAACCCAAAUUGGACCCUGUCACUCCUUUGUUUCAAAGCCUUCAGUGGUUCCCUGUGGCCCCAUUACCCCCUCCUUCCCAUGGCUAGCACCCUCAGCCUAUGUCCCGUUCAACCUGUCAGGAGGCUUACACCUCCUCUCCCCUCGGGCCCUUUGCACAUGCUGUUCCCUCCUCCCAGAAUGCUUGUCUCUUAUGCUCUUUCCCUAGUUCACCUCUCAGCCGCCGCCUCCUCAGGGAAGCCCUCCCUGAUACACACUCUCGUCCCUCCACAUGUCUCGCUUUUGAAGCACCGUAUGCUCACGUCAUGAACUUCGUCUCUCCCGGGAGUCUGUGGGCUCCUGGUUGGGCCAGGGCCUGCCCCGCCUGGCCACUGCCACCGCCACUGCCUGGCACACGCCUUGUGAGCCGGGGCAGGUCACUUACCUCUUUGAGACUCAGUUUCCUCAUCGGUAACAUGAAUACGAGGUUCACAGGCCGCUGGGAUGGAUACCUGCCUGCCCACCACCCAUCCUCUCUUCCGGGAUCUGCACACUGAUUCUUCCUCGGGGACCAUCCUCCCGCCUCCUGCAGUCGGUGAAGUUUGAGAGAGAACCCUUCCCCCAGCUGUCUCAAGGGCACAGGACCCAGGCGUGGCCAAUCAAAGAACGCCACCCCCUGGUCUUAUGAUUGGUUCAGGAACGUGCAUGUAACCCAAGUGCAAUCAGUGAUAAUGAGCUCUGGAACUUGUGCUUGAGCUGUUGGGAAAGAGUUAUUUUGGUCUGUUCAUGGGGUUAUUUGUGUUUGUGUGUUUGGGGGUGGGAGUGAGGGAGUUUCUGCUACGGUUCUGAGAGAAUAAGAUAGCUCUGGAACUGCCCAGAGUCCUUCAAAUAGAGCCUGCUUGAAGACGAAAGCAGAGUCAGGAGAAGCCAAGUCCUAAUGACAUUAUUUGAGCACCUGGAUCCAGCUAUGCCUGAAGGCGGAAUUGAGCUUUUUGGUGCCUAGCACAUAAUAAGUAUGAUACAAAUAGUGGCUGUUAUUAGCAGCAUAGAGUCUGGUAGACAGUAGGUGCUUGGCAAUGUUAGUUCCUUUCUCCUUUCACUCCCAUGCCCCUGAAAACAUUGUAGAAUUACUGCCAUCCCUCUUUCUGCCGAUUACAAAUGCUUCACAGUGCAUCGUGGGGCCCCGUUCAGGGCAUGAGCAAAAUGUGUUAAUGACGGAACGUCUGUCAGAGCAUUUUCCCAUCAAGCUGUUCUUCUUCCCCCACUGAAGACACUCAGGGGACAAGACAGAUGCUGAAAAUAAUGAGGCCCAGAGCUGCCAUGAUCUCUGCCUGGCAAAUUCACAGCUUCCAGACAUUCAGGCCCUGGGACAGCCUCGGGGUGGGGAGAAGGGGGAUAGGGAACCUCAGAGGUAUUCGGGUGCUGACACGUCUCCAUCGCGCCAACAGUGGGUGCUAGGGACCGAGAGCUGAGGGCACGCCCCAAUCUGCGGGGGUAGUCGGGCUAUGAGUGCAUUUAGUGUAUGCCUGCUGGAUGCUCGGAUGCUGGGGGUACCGU